Molecule: ribosomal RNA, 637 nt
Filed under: uncultured bacterium
Lineage: Bacteria
Description: bacterial SSU rRNA
Rfam family: Bacterial small subunit ribosomal RNA (bases 1-532)
Source: RNAcentral
CCUACGGGAGGCAGCAGUGAGGAAUAUUGGACAAUGGGCGCAAGCCUGAUCCAGCCAUGCCGCGUGCAGGAAGACGGUCCUAUGGAUUGUAAACUGCUUUUAUACAGGAAGAAACACUCGGACGUGUCCGAACUUGACGGUACUGUAUGAAUAAGCAUCGGCUAACUCCGUGCCAGCAGCCGCGGUAAUACGGAGGAUGCAAGCGUUAUCCGGAAUCAUUGGGUUUAAAGGGUCCGUAGGCGGUCAUAUAAGUCAGUGGUGAAAGCCCAUCGCUCAACGAUGGAACGGCCAUUGAUACUGUUUGACUUGAAUUAUUAGGAAGUAACUAGAAUAUGUAGUGUAGCGGUGAAAUGCUUAGAGAUUACAUGGAAUACCAAUUGCGAAGGCAGGUUACUACUAAUAUAUUGACGCUGAUGGACGAAAGCGUGGGGAGCGAACAGGAUUAGAUACCCGUGGUACGUCCACGCGUAAACGAUGGAUACUAGCUGUUCGGAGNAUNUGNGUGAGAGAGAAGUAGAUAAGUACUCCGACCGUACGGGUAGGUACGUUACGUACGAAGAAGUAGAACGUAACGUAAAGGUAAGUUAGGUACGGACGUUAGAGACGACGACCGGACGGACGACGACGGAGGGAGGAG